This 341-nucleotide unclassified non-coding RNA is filed under the name soil metagenome. RNAcentral's name for it is "partial contains 5.8S ribosomal RNA, internal transcribed spacer 2, and large subunit ribosomal RNA". The stretch from base 1 to 120 matches the Rfam family "5.8S ribosomal RNA", at positions 35 to 154 of the family's 154-position model. The record is from RNAcentral.
GAUGAAGAACGCAGCGAAAUGCGAUAACUAAUGUGAAUUGCAGAAUUCAGUGAAUCAUCGAGUCUUUGAACGCACAUUGCGCCCCCUGGUAUUCCGGGGGGCAUGCCUGUCCGAGCGUCAUUGCUGCCCUCAAGCACGGCUUGUGUGUUGGGCUCCGCCCCCCCGGGGACGGGUCCGAAAGGCAGCGGCGGCACCGAGUCCGGUCCUCGAGCGUAUGGGGCUUUGUCACCCGCUCUGUAGGCCCGGCCGGCGCCAGCCGACAACCAAUCAUCCUUUUUUCAGGUUGACCUCGGAUCAGGUAGGGAUACCCGCUGAACUUAAGCAUAUCAAUAAGCGGAGGA